UUGCUUUGGCAGCUCAUAUACUAAAACUGGAACAAUACAGAGGAGAUUAGCACGAUCUCUGCUCAAGGAUGACACACAAAUUCGUGAAGAGUUCCAUAUUUUU
Pelobates cultripes (western spadefoot toad) is the source of this 103-nucleotide non-coding RNA. The record is from the annotation of a GenBank genome assembly. NCBI's taxonomy places the organism in Eukaryota, Metazoa, Chordata, Amphibia, Anura, Pelobatidae.